RNAcentral lists this ribosomal RNA (878 nucleotides) under uncultured bacterium. RNAcentral's name for it is "bacterial SSU rRNA". It matches the Rfam family "Bacterial small subunit ribosomal RNA", at positions 8 to 883 of the family's 1533-position model. The record is from RNAcentral.
AGAGUUUGAUCAUGGCUCAGGAUGAACGCUAGCGGCAGGCUUAAUACAUGCAAGUCGAACGGGAUUUCGGGUAGCAAUACCUGGAUGAGAGUGGCGCACGGGUGCGUAACGCGUAUGCAACCUACCUUUAACUGGGGCACAACUCCGCGAAAGCGGGGCUAAUAUCCCAUAACAUUGCGAUGAGGAGUCUCAUUGCAAUUAAAGCUCCGGCGGUUAUAGAUGGGCAUGCGUGACACUAGCUAGUUGGUGAGGUAACGGCUCACCAAGGCGACGAUGUCUAGGGGUUCUGAGAGGAUUAUCCCCCACACUGGUACUGAGACACGGACCAGACUCCUACGGGAGGCAGCAGUAAGGAAUAUUGGGCAAUGGACGCAAGUCUGACCCAGCCAUGCCGCGUGAAGGAUGAAGGCCCUAUGGGUUGUAAACUUCUUUUAUACGGGAAAAAACCUUCGGUCGUGUACCGGAGCUGAUGGUACCGUAAGAAUAAGCAUCGGCUAACUCCGUGCCAGCAGCCGCGGUAAUACGGAGGAUGCAAGCGUUAUCCGGAUUCAUUGGGUUUAAAGGGUGCGCAGGCGGAGUGAUAAGUCAGUGGUGAAAGCCUACGGCUCAACUGUAGAACUGCCAUUGAUACUGUCAUUCUUGAGUACUGUUGAGGUGGGCGGAAUGUGUCAUGUAGCGGUGAAAUGCUUAGAUAUGACACAGAACACCGAUCGCGAAGGCAGCUCACCAAGCAGAAACUGACGCUCAUGCACGAAAGCGUGUGGAUCAAACAGGAUUAGAUACCCUGGUAGUCCACGCUGUAAACGAUGAUCACUCGAUGUUGGCGAUAUACUGUCAGCGUCUUAGCGAAAGUAUUAAGUGAUCCACCUGGGGAGUAC